AUGUAUUAUGUUUAGCCAGUGAAUGAACAAACGCAUCAUUCACCACUUUAUUUUUAAAACAAAAUAAUUACAAAAUGAAAUGCGCGUUCAUACCUAACACAGUUUGGUUAAUUCAUGUAAUAUAUGGCAAAUGGUUGUACAUCGUUUCAUAAAUCGUAAUUUCUAUCGUAACUAUAAUGGGGGGAGCGACUAUAAACUUACAAUCUAAACUUGCCCUUUUUACGUUU
Molecule: long non-coding RNA, 227 nt
Organism: Bradysia coprophila
Lineage: Eukaryota; Metazoa; Arthropoda; Insecta; Diptera; Sciaridae
Source: RefSeq, a predicted model, not a curated record